Molecule: transfer RNA, 71 nt
Filed under: Loxodonta africana (African savanna elephant)
Lineage: Eukaryota; Metazoa; Chordata; Mammalia; Proboscidea; Elephantidae
Rfam family: tRNA
About the family: Transfer RNA (tRNA) molecules are approximately 80 nucleotides in length. Their secondary structure includes four short double-helical elements and three loops (D, anti-codon, and T loops). Further hydrogen bonds mediate the characteristic L-shaped molecular structure. tRNAs have two regions of fundamental functional importance: the anti-codon, which is responsible for specific mRNA codon recognition, and the 3' end, to which the tRNAs corresponding amino acid is attached (by aminoacyl-tRNA synthetases). tRNAs cope with the degeneracy of the genetic code in two manners: having more than one tRNA (with a specific anti-codon) for a particular amino acid; and 'wobble' base-pairing, i.e. permitting non-standard base-pairing at the 3rd anti-codon position.
Source: Rfam by way of RNAcentral
AUGUUGGUGGUUCAGUGGUAGAGCUCUCACCUUCCAUGUGGGAGAUCCAGGUUUGAUUUCUGACCAAGGUG